Molecule: ribosomal RNA, 395 nt
Filed under: uncultured bacterium
Lineage: Bacteria
Description: bacterial SSU rRNA
Rfam family: Bacterial small subunit ribosomal RNA
Source: RNAcentral
GUGUCAGCAGCCGCGGUAAUACGGAAGGUGCAAGCGUUAGUCGGAAUUACUGGGCGUAAAGGGUGCGUAGGCUGGGUUAUAAGUUAGAUGUGAAAUUUUUGCGCUCAACGUAAAAGCUGCAUCUAAAACUGUAACUCUGGAGGUAUUGCGGAGAAAGCGGAAUUCCACGUGUAGCGGUGAAAUGCGUAGAUAUGUGGAAGAACACCUGUGGCGAAAGCGGCUUUCUAGCAUAGACCUGACGCUGAGGCACGAGAGCAAGGGGAGCAAACAGGAUUAGAUACCCUGGUAGUCCUUGCCGUAAACUAUGCAUACUUGAUGUAGGUAGGCUCAACCUUACCUGUGUCGUAGCUAACGCGAUAAGUAUGCCGCCUGGGGAGUACGCUCGCAAGAGUGAA